This 644-nucleotide ribosomal RNA is filed under the name Lacticaseibacillus rhamnosus. RNAcentral's name for it is "bacterial SSU rRNA". It matches the Rfam family "Bacterial small subunit ribosomal RNA", at positions 57 to 666 of the family's 1533-position model. The record is from RNAcentral. Lineage: Bacteria; Bacillati; Bacillota; Bacilli; Lactobacillales; Lactobacillaceae.
GCAGUCGAACGAGUUCUGAUUAUUGAAAGGUGCUUGCAUCUUGAUUUAAUUUUGAACGAGUGGCGGACGGGUGAGUAACACGUGGGUAACCUGCCCUUAAGUGGGGGAUAACAUUUGGAAACAGAUGCUAAUACCGCAUAAAUCCAAGAACCGCAUGGUUCUUGGCUGAAAGAUGGCGUAAGCUAUCGCUUUUGGAUGGACCCGCGGCGUAUUAGCUAGUUGGUGAGGUAACGGCUCACCAAGGCAAUGAUACGUAGCCGAACUGAGAGGUUGAUCGGCCACAUUGGGACUGAGACACGGCCCAAACUCCUACGGGAGGCAGCAGUAGGGAAUCUUCCACAAUGGACGCAAGUCUGAUGGAGCAACGCCGCGUGAGUGAAGAAGGCUUUCGGGUCGUAAAACUCUGUUGUUGGAGAAGAAUGGUCGGCAGAGUAACUGUUGUCGGCGUGACGGUAUCCAACCAGAAAGCCACGGCUAACUACGUGCCAGCAGCCGCGGUAAUACGUAGGUGGCAAGCGUUAUCCGGAUUUAUUGGGCGUAAAGCGAGCGCAGGCGGUUUUUUAAGUCUGAUGUGAAAGCCCUCGGCUUAACCGAGGAAGUGCAUCGGAAACUGGGAAACUUGAGUGCAGAAGAGGACAGUGGAA